RNAcentral lists this ribosomal RNA (498 nucleotides) under uncultured bacterium. RNAcentral describes it as "partial 16S ribosomal RNA". It matches the Rfam family "Bacterial small subunit ribosomal RNA", at positions 28 to 507 of the family's 1533-position model. The record is from RNAcentral.
GACGAACGCUGGCGGCAUGCCUAAUACAUGCAAGUUGAACGAUGAUAUUCUCUGCUUGCAGAGACUUGAAGAGUAGCGAACGGGUGAGUAACACGUGGGGAACCUGCCCAUGAGAGGGGGAUAACAUUCGGAAACGGAUGCUAAUACCGCAUAAUGCUUUGGACCGCCUGGUCCAGAGACGAAAGACGGCUUUUGCUGUCACUCAUGGAUGGCCCCGCGCCGUAUUAGCUAGUUGGUGAGGUAAUGGCUCACCAAAGCUGUGAUACGUAGCCGACCUGAGAGGGUGAUCGGCCACACUGGGACUGAGACACGGCCCAGACUCCUACGGGAGGCAGCAGUAGGGAAUCUUCCGCGAUGGGCGAAAGCCUGAUGGAGCAAUGCCGCGUGAAUGAAGAAGGUCUUCGGAUCGUAAAGUUCUGUUAUUAGAGAAGAACAAGUCAAGGAGUAACUGUCUUGACUUUGACGGUACCUAACCAGAAAGUCACGGCUAACUACGUG